AAGUCGUAACAAGGUUUCCGUAGGUGAACCUGCGGAAGGAUCAUUAAUGAAUAUCUAUGGUGUUGGUUGUCGCUGGCUCCUAGGAGCAUUGUGCACACCCACCAUUCAUAUCUUUCCACCUGUGAACUUUGUGUAGAUCUGGAUAACUCUCGCUCGUUAUCAAGCGGAUGCAAGGAACUGCCCCUUGGGGCUUUCUUUGAAUUUCCAGGUCUAUGUCUUUUAUACACCCCAAUUGAAUGAUAACGAAUGUAAUCAAUGGGCUCUAAGCCUAUAAAACAAAAUACAACUUUCAGCAACGGAUCUCUUGGCUCUC
This 313-nucleotide unclassified non-coding RNA is filed under the name Psathyrella stercoraria. RNAcentral's name for it is "partial internal transcribed spacer region". The stretch from base 1 to 46 matches the Rfam family "Eukaryotic small subunit ribosomal RNA", at positions 1786 to 1831 of the family's 1831-position model. The record is from RNAcentral. Lineage: Eukaryota; Fungi; Basidiomycota; Agaricomycetes; Agaricales; Psathyrellaceae.